Molecule: long non-coding RNA, 7947 nt
Organism: Neofelis nebulosa (Clouded leopard)
Lineage: Eukaryota; Metazoa; Chordata; Mammalia; Carnivora; Felidae
Exons: 2
Source: RefSeq, a predicted model, not a curated record
UAUAUUUUAACUUUUAAAAUGUUUUUAUUUAUUUUCGAGAGAGACAGAGUGUGAGCAGGGGAGGGACAGAGAGAGAGAGAGAGAGGCAGACACAGGAUCUGAAGCAGGCUCGUGGGGUACGAACCCAGAAACCGUGAGAUCAUGACCUGAGCUGAAGUCGGACGCUUAACCGACUGAACCACCCAGGCACCCCUAAACUGACUUAUAUUUUUAAUAGUGCAUGAAGACUUUAGGACUUUUAAUGUAUUAUUUAGUAGUAUUUCAGAUAGACAAAUCAGCAUUACCCUUUGCUUGAAAUAUGUUUAAUCCAAGUUAUUUUUGCGUUUUUCUCAGGUUUAUUAAUAUUCAAAAAGAAAUUUCUAUUGCCUUUUUGUAUAAAGAGAGGGCAUAAAUACCAUAAAUGUUCAGGAUUCAGUUACAAGUCGGAAGCUGCAGGAACUUGCUGAAGCAGAACUCUUACAGUAAUAUAUACUAAAUAGUAUUAUGGAUAUCUUGAAGGCAGUUUACUUAAAAAUCAGCCUAAAGUGUAAAAUGUGAGCUAAAAGGGGAAUUGGAUUUAGUUCUUUUAAGAGAGUUUGGGAUUGUCUGAAGACAGUCCUUUGUUGCUUUCUAAGUGAGAUACAUUUGGGUCAGCUCCUGUAUAUUGAGUGAGUUACUUAACUGGACUAGGUGUUGCAGGCCAUCACAAGAGGAGUAAGAAGCUCUCAAGGACCUUGUAAAUUACAGGGAUACCCGUGUGUAACAUGAAGCACCCAUGUGAAUACCAUAGGAGAGGUGCAAAAGAGGUUAUGGUCAGGAAAGCCUUCUUGACUUGAGAUGGACAUUAAAUUAGUAUGGAGGGAGUGCAGUGGGACGGAUAAGACUUUCAGACAGAGAAAAAAACAUGACCGAAGUUGGAAAGGGGAGGAGCCUUUUCAAGAACUAGCAGAUUUAAGGUUUGCUGAAGCUGCAGUAUAUUUGGGGGAUAAUGGAACAUAGAGUUAGAAAGAGACCAUACUGAGAAAGACCCUAAAGAAGGCAGAAGAUUUCAUAUUUCAGUAAGCAGUGGAGACUCAUUAAUGGUUUUUGACCUUGGGUGGGGGGUGAGGAGGAGGCUUUGCAGUGGUCUGGAAUGGAUCCUGGGUGAUGGGCAUUCCAACCAGGGUAACAGCUGUGCAAUAGGAAACAUCUGGAUGAACAGGUCUGUUACUGAAGGGCUGCUGGCUAGACACCAUGUUAGGUGCUUUGUUGGAUAAUGUUUAAUUGAGGCCAAAUUAUCAAGGCUGGGUGGAGAGCUUUGAACUAAUUGUGAAGGUAACAGGGAGUCGUAGUGUAAGAGAAAUGACUCAUAAAAGCCAUGCUUUACAAGGCCUUUAGAUCAGUGCAGCAGGAGUUAGAGGGAAGAAGCUGGAGAUGAAUUUGGGAAUUCUCUGUUGAGAAUGGUGAGGAGCGAGGCCAUGGUGCUCAAAUGCAGGAGUGGGGGAGACACCGGGGAGGAUGAUUUUAUCUCCCAGGGGCAUUUGGCGCUGUUCGGAGAUAUUUUGGGUUGUCCUGACUUGUAGGGAAGGAGCAAUUCUCCCGGCAUCUAGCAGACAGAGGCCAGCGAUGCCACUAAACAUCCUACAGUGCAUAGGCCAGCCCCCCAACAAAGAUUUAUCUAACCCCAAAUGCCAGUCAGUGGUGCUGAGAUCGAGAUAUCCUCACCUGGACUCUGGUGGUAACCGUGGAACAGCAAAGGAGGCUAGAACUUCAUAGAAAUUAUGAAGGUAGAUUUGAUGGGCCUGGGCUACCUAGUGAUAUUUAGAUGAGGGAAGGGUAGAGCAAGGAUUAUUCUUUGUUGGAUUCUACUCACCACCUAAAAAGGGGGCAGGAAGAGUCUGGUUUUAGGUAAAAGAUACUGGCAAUUUGACUUCUGGCAUUUUGAGAUGGCAAUGGAAAUCUUCAGGAGAUAUUUGGAAACUUAUGGAUGUUUGUCCCCACUGAGUGCUUGUUCUUACGGUGAAAUUCAGAUAUUUGGGGUGUCUUCUCUGCUUUUCUCACCUAAGUAUUUUGGGGGUAGGGGGGCAGGCAGCUUCUUACACUGUGGGCAUGCAUGUACACCUCAGGGCUUUGAUUGAUGUAGUAGUUUUCAGCAUUUGUUAAUAAAAGUCAUGAGAAGGCUGAGUCAUCUGGGAGAAUGAGUGUAGAAAACAAAGAACAGAGGGCCGAGAACUGAAGGGGGAAGGAGCUGGCAUUUAUUGAGUGCCUAUUAUGUUUCUUUUACUGGGCAAAUCAUUUUCAUGUAAGAACUCAGUUGAUGCUUACAACAACCCUGUAAAGUGUAUUAUUUUUUAUUUAUUAACUAGGCAUCUGACAGACAGAGAAGUUAAAUCAUCUGUUCGUGAAUAAAGCGUCUCUCCUUUACCGUUAUUCCUUGUUACCUUUCAGCUCUUUCUUACUUUCACUGUUCAUGUGAUUGGUUUGCCCAUAGUUCUCCUAAAGAGUGGAGGUUUAAGAUUGUUUGAUUUUGAGUUAUGUGUGGAUUUCCUUCUCUGCAUGGUCAAUAGUUUCAUGUAUGAUGAUGUCUUGAGACACAGCCACUUAAGAGAAAUAGGAAGAUUCUUGUAGUUGGUAUCCUAUGCACACAGAGACACAAUUUUAUAUUACUACAGCUGGCAGACAUCUUAAAGUAUGUUCAUUACCCUGGUUUUGGAAGGGUAGAGUCAGUCCUGUUCUGAGUUGAAAGGUUUGUUUUGGGGGGUGCCUGGGUGACUCGGUUGGUUGAGCGUCCCACCCUUGGUUUUGGCUCAGGUCAUGAUCUCAUGGUUUGUGAGAUUGAGCCCCUCGUUGGGCUCUGUGCUGAAAACUCAGGGCCAGCUUUGGAGUCUCUCACCCUCUCUCUCUGCCCCUCCCCUGUUCACAGGAGCUCUCACUCUCUCAAAAUAAGUAAAUAAACUUUUUUUUUUUUUUUUUUUUAAAGAAAGGUUCGUUUUUGGAGACUGUCAGUAGACAAAGUGAAUGAGCUACAGCUUUAUAGAAUUAUGCUCAACAACAGAGAGGAACAGGACUGGGUGGAGAAAAAUUUGGUUCAUAGGAUAUAAUCAUGAGGAGUUUUGCUCUUUGCUGAGCAAAAAAAAAUCAUUGACUUGAAAAUCACCUUAUCUAGAAAUAAUUUAUUUUAUUUUUUAAAGACGAGGGAAAGUAUGCUACCACACUAAUCAGUAUGUUUUCUUAGCUUUUACUUGGAGCCCCUACUUUGGGAAAUGUUUUAAAACUACAUACAAAUUUUCAGUGCGUAAUAGUUUGAGAAAAGGUUCUAGUAUUAAUGGUUCUUUUAUUGAAGGUUCUAACCAGUGUAUCCCUAUUAAUGAAGCUGAAGAAAUGUCUUAGAUCAUUUGUGUUGAGCAACAUCUUGGUAGAAUAUUUGAGUAACACAUUAAUUUAAUGGGUGAAAAUGACAACCGUGACACAUAAACCAUUUUGCUUUUCUCUUUGAAAUUUGUUCAAUUAUAAGAUUUAUUCAUUAGUGAUAGUAUUAAAGUAAGGAAAGAGAGCCUCAUUUGUUCACUCAAAGUUAUAAACUUAAUACAAUAAAUGUCAGGUUUGUUGUUCUGGAGCAGUGAUUCCUUUUUUAUUUGUAAUUUUUGGAUCAUUGAAACAGUUAACAACAAACUACAAAAACAGUCUUGCCUUAAUCAGACCCUUUCCUAUAUACAGCUGAAAAGCAUACUGUUUGUGACAGAAGUGACACUUAAUGGUUUUCUGUAGUAUCCUAUUUGCUUUUUAAAUUUGUUUUUCCUAUAUCAUUGCUAGUUUUAGCCUUUUCUUUUUCCUUUUAAAUGAAUAGCUCAGAGUUAGUGUCUUAGUAUUUUGGGAAUUCAUGCUAAGCAUUUUGAUGGAGCUGUAGAAGAGCAUACAGGCCGGUAUAAGGAGCUCUAAACAUGGGAGGCAAGUUCCAGUCCUGUCUGUAACCAGCCUUGUGACCUUGAACAGAUCACUUAAUGUCUGGAUUUUCUUUCUCACAGCCUGAAGAGGUUGGAUUGGGUUUUUCUUUUCUUUUUUUUAAAUGUUUGUUUAUUUAUUUUGAGAGAGCAUGAGCUGGUGGCACUCACAAGGCUGAAGAAGAGAGAAUUUUAAGCAGUCUCCACCCUCAGAGUGGAGCCUGUCCCUGUCCCUGUCCUGGUCCCUGAGGCUCUGCCUCCCAACUGUGAGAUCAUGACCUGAGCCGGAAAUCAAGAGUCCCAACGCUUAAUCGACUCAGCACCCCUGGAUUGGGUUUUUCAAAGAAACGUGUUAGAGUGUUGAAAUGGCCACUGUGUCCAGCCACACCCUUAAGAACAUAGUGCACAGUCCUGAAAUUAGUUGUCCACUGUUUUAACAGUAGAAUUGAUUUCUUUUACAAGUUUUGGAGAUUUGAUGAGGAGAAUCUCAGCCUGGAAUGCUGAAGGGACUUUGUGUACAUGAGGGAACUGCUGAAAGGUUUGUAAGGUCCCUAGAUAUUUGGCCAGUGAGAAUUUGAAAUGGGUGAUAAAACUUGGCAUUUAUCACCUUUUGCCUCAUAUAGGUUUCAUUGUCUGUAGCCUUUCCUGUGAUAUAGAUGCAUCUUCAUUCAUCUUUUCCCUCCUUUACCUCUAUAAAAGAAUCUACGGGGGCACUUGGGUGACUCAGUCGGUUGGGCAUCUGACUUCAGCUCAGGUCAUGAUCUCACAGCUUGGGAGUUUGAGCCCCCCGUCGGGCUCUGCUGACAGCUCAGAGUCUGAAGCCUGCUUCGGAUUCUGUGUCUCCCUCUCUCUCUCUCUGCCCCUCCUCCACUGGCACUCUGUUUCUCUCUCUGUCAAAAAUAAACAUUAAAAGAAAAUAAUCUCGUCUGAUCAGUUGCAUAUAUAUGCGUGACAUAAAAAUCAGGAUGUAAUAAGUUCAGCUCAGAAAUCUUUUUUUAAAUUCAUACCAUACACUAAGUUUCAUUGAAAUUUGGUAAAUAGGACUUCGGCCUUUAAAAAAAAUACUGUAUCUUUUCUUCGUUUUCUUUCAAGAAUUGACUUUAUGCUGAAUUUGAAUCUACCUUCUUAAAUGAUGAAGCCAGAAUUUAUAAGAUCAUGUAGCUCCUACCUCUUUUGGGUUGUGGACUCCUUUGAAAUUCUGGUGCACCUACAUGACAUCUGUCUAAAAAAUACAAUCACACAAAAUUUUGCAUGUAAUUUGAGGUUGCUAGCCUUCCUCCAAUUUAGUCAGGCUCAUCCCAUGGACAUCUAUGUUAAGAAAGUUUUGAGGACGGGCAGACAGGCCUGUGAAAUGCCAAACAUAAUGUUUGUCUUAAGUCAGUUUCGCACCCCAACAUGAAUACUUCUUAAUGGCUACUAUUUAUAUUCAGGGUAUAUAUAUAUAACAGUGGUAAAAAAUCAGGAAUUUUUCUUGCCUUCAUGGAUUAUGCUAAUGUUAAAAAGGAAAAGAACCGUGUAUAGUUAAUACAGAAUCAUUGCCAACUUGGGGGCCUACUUAGUUGUAAGGGAAGGUUCCUCUGAGGAGAAAUGGAUGGAGAUAAGGGAGCGAGAAUGAGAUGUUUCACAUGGAGGGAAAGCAUGGGAAGGGCCUGAAGUUUGAAGAGCUUAAUGUGUUUGAGGAAGUGAGAAGCUGGAGCCCUUGGGCAGGGGGAGAACAUGGCAGGGACCACACACUGCAGGGCCUUGUACCCAGCGGUAAGGGGUUUGGAUUUUAAAUAUGCGAAGUUUCUGUUAAGGGAGUAGCAUCAUCUAUAUUGUUGGGGUUUUUUUUUAAUUUUUUUUUUUGUUAACGUUUAUUUAUCUUUGAGAGAAAGAGACAGAGUGGGAGUGGGAGAGGGGCCGAGAGAGAGGGAGACACAGAAUUAGAAGCAGGCUCCAGGCUCUGAGCUGUCAGCACAGAGCCCGAUGGGGGGCUCAAACUCACGAGUGGUGAGAUCAUGACCUGUGCUGAAGUUGGACACCCAACCGACUGAGCCACCCAGGCGCCCCUAGCUAUAUUGUUUUUUCAAGAUUCUCCUGCUGUGUAGAGCGAAGAGCAAACAGAAACAGAUUGGCCAGUGGAUAUGCAGUAGCUCAGAUGGGAGAUGAUGGGAGAUGACCGUGGCUUAACAGUAGUGCGGUGGCAGUGGAUGGAGAGGAGUGGACAUAGUGGAGAUACUUUGAGGUGGUAAAAAUAGGAGGACAUGAUAAUGGAUUGGAUAUGGAACAUAAGGGAGAAGGAAGAACUCAGAGAUGUUGCGGGAAGUCACUAUUCUUACAGUUGGGAGAGGAAUGGGUUUUGGGGGGGCGGGUGGUUUGGUGUGUGGUGGAAAGGUAGUCGUGAAUUCAGGAGGGUUUUUUUGUUUUUUUUUUUGUUGUUGUCCUAGGCUCUUAGAAUGCUGCGAGAUUGUCAGGGGUGCCUCUACCAGAGGGGAUUGAAGAUAUUUGGCUUGCAGAUGUCCAUUUGAAGAUUAUCAAUGACACUUAAAAGCCAAGAACGUAGAUGAAAUCAGGGAGGAAGAGAAGGAAGAGAUGACAGGGAGGAAAGAAAAAAGACUGACUAGAAAUGCAAAGAACCCUGAGGAAUGCAGUACAUUUCUAAGUUGGGUAAACUGGAAGGCCGCUAGGAAGGAAGCUAAGGACAGUCAGAGAGUGGUUGCAGGGAAAUUGGGAACGUAUAUUGGACCAUGCCAUGGAUGCCAAGCAAUGCAAGUAUUUGAGGAAAAGAAUAGUUAACUGUGUUGAGUUUGGUUGGCUGAGAAGUUGGGAAGAUGUGGGCAGAAAUAUGGCCAUUGGAUUUGGCAGCCUAGAGGUCAUCGGUAACUUUGAUGAGCCAAUUUCAUGGACUGGUAGAGAUGGAAACCAGAUUUGAGUGACUUGAGGGAUAUCCGAUGGCCCAGGAAUUAGAGACAGAGUGUAUAGAUAGUGUUUGAAAGCUGUUUGCAGGUGAAAGGAAACAGACGUGGGGUAGAAGCUAGAGGUGUAUGAGGAUAUACAGGAAGCCUGCCUGCCUGCCUGCCUGCCUGCCUUCCUUCCUUCCUUCCUUCCUUCCUUCCUUAGCAUAAAACAUACUGCAGCAUGAUUUUAGUUGUUAGGAUAAAAAGGGAAGAAAGGAAGAUGAAGGAAGCAUUGAAAAAGCAAGAUUGUUCAGGAGCACAACUGCACAGAGAAUGGACUUAAAAGAAAAGGGAUCCCUUCCUCAAUUUUGAAAGGGGGGAAGAAGGAAGAACAUGGAUAUAGAGACAAGUAGGUACAUAGAUUCAGUGCAGGAGAAUUCUGAUGUUCCAGCCUAAUAGUUUCUACGUGUUUUACAUACUGAGGCAAAAAUAACAGUUUAGUAGUGGGAACAAUCUGAAUAUGAAAGAAACAAAAUCUACUUACAGUAGCAUCAGAAAGAAUACAUACUUAGGAAUAAAUUUAACAAAAGAUGAGGUGCCUGCCUAGUUCAGUUGGUAAAGCAUGCAACUCUUGAUCUUGGGGUUGUAUGCUCGAGCCCCACAUUGGAUGUAGAGAUUACUUAAAAAUAAAAUCUUGGGGCAUCUGGGUGGCUUAGUGAGUUAAGCAUCUAACUUGAUUGUGGCUCAGGUCAUGAUCCCAGGAUUGUGGGAUUGAGCCCCAUGUUGGGCUCUGUGCCGAAUUGAGCAUGGAGCCUGCUUGGGAUUCUCUCUCUCCCUCUGCCCCUCUCCCUUGUUUGCACGUGUUCUCUCUCAAAAUAAAUAAAUAAACAAAUAAAUAAUAAAAAUAAGUAAAAAUAAAAUCUCAAUCUCUCUCUCUCUUUCUCUCUCUUUUUUGUUAAAGAAUCACUGGGCACCGGGUUGGUUCAUUCAUUUAACCAGCUGACUCUUGGUUUCAGCUCAGGUCAUGAUCUCACAGUCUGUGAGUUGUAACCCUGCCUCGAGCUCUGUGCUAACAGUGUGGAGCCUGCUUGGGAUUCUCUCCCUCUCACUAUCCCUCCCUACGGUGCUUGUGCAUGUUUUCUCUCUGUCUCUCAAAAUAAGUAAAUGAUAUU